GCUCUGCUGGCAGCCUGAGCAGAGACAUACACACACGUCUUCAUUGCCUGAUGAGGAGCAGAGGUACCCCACACAGGAAAGUCAAGUGAUCAUGCCUGCAGGACGAUCAACAAGCAAGACUUGACACGGUGCUUGCUGGUCUUUGCGCGAAGGAUGUACACUUGACGUGCAAGGGCCUUCGCAGGACAAGUCGCCUCCUCAAGAGAGGGGAGCACAAUAACGGGCAGCUCCUCCUUGGUGCAGACUCAAACACUGUUCUUUGGGCAAUCCCAAAGCUGGUCAAGCCAUCACCAGAAUGGCAGAAAGCGUAAAAGUAUGUGCGCAACUGAGAAUUUGGCAGCUUCAAUCGUGGGGCACGCGUUCACAAAUGGCAGCAUGCAAAAAGACUCUGAUUUCUCAAAAGCAGCAUGCAUAAUGGGAUCAGCCAUUCUAUGUAUUCUAUUGGGUAUUCUGCUGACGGCUGCCACUAAAAAGGUUGUUCAUUUGUUUCCAGCAUGCAAAACUGGCCCUGGCUGGCAGGGGGCGGAAAGCACUGAGCACCGUGCCCACUUAUUUGGGUCUUGCUUGGACUUGGCAAGUCCAUCGAGGGGUAGGCUUGCGGCAGCCUUUUAACUGCAGCUUGUCUGCAGACGCACCCUGCCUCUUGGCAGGAAAAGCGGGUAAAAACAACAAUAACAACUACAAUGCAAAGUUGCUGGGUCACCUGUGGAGAGGCGUCCCUGCUGCGCUGCGCUCGGUCAGGGCUGCUGCCGCGGCUGCCAAACACCUCGUCAAAGGGGUCCACAAUAGGCGCCUGCAUGCAUGCAGCCGCCCCCGUCAACUUCUGCCCCAGAUUCCGGACGUGGAAACAAUUCAUAAAAAGAUCCAAAGGUCAGGACCACAUCGGGCUGCCUCCUCACAUGCUUAUGUGAAUAGACUGAUGUGUGCAGAUCACACUUCACACAUUGGGGUGAAGGUCACAAAAGCAGAAGGAACAACGGACCCUGAGCUAGAAAUCAAGCAUGCCAAGCAAAGCCGAGCAGUAAAUUUCUUGUAACCCUGCCAAAGAGCAGGAAGGUGCACGGCAGCUCCUGAGGGAAGAAAGAACCUUGGACAGGGGGGACCGCGGCUGGGGAGUCCGGGAGCGCGGGGACCCGGAGCCAGAAUAGGCCGCCUCCUGUUUCAAACCCGCGCUCAUAUUCGAAGGCCGCUCCGGGCUCGCCACGGGUGACUCAUCGUCAGAUCCCUCGUCCAUGGAAGAUACUGAGCCUGCAUCUGACGGCGGAGGCGCCUUGUGCAGAAUCGCCGACCGCA
This 1293-nucleotide long non-coding RNA is filed under the name Coccomyxa subellipsoidea. RNAcentral describes it as "long non-coding RNA (CSUB_LNC000038)". The record is from RNAcentral. Lineage: Eukaryota; Viridiplantae; Chlorophyta; Trebouxiophyceae; Coccomyxaceae.